AGUGAACGCUGGCGGUAGGCCUAACACAUGCAAGUCGAACGGCAGCACAGUAAGAGCUUGCUCUUACGGGUGGCGAGUGGCGGACGGGUGAGGAAUACAUCGGAAUCUACUUUUUCGUGGGGGAUAACGUAGGGAAACUUACGCUAAUACCGCAUACGACCUACGGGUGAAAGCAGGGGAUCUUCGGACCUUGCGCGAUUGAAUGAGCCGAUGUCGGAUUAGCUAGUUGGCGGGGUAAAGGCCCACCAAGGCGACGAUCCGUAGCUGGUCUGAGAGGAUGAUCAGCCACACUGGAACUGAGACACGGUCCAGACUCCUGCGGGAGGGAGCAGUGGGGAAUAUUGGACAAUGGGCGCAAGCCUGAUCCAGCCAUACCGCGUGGGUGAAGAAGGCCUUCGGGUUGUAAAGCCCUUUUGUUGGGAAAGAAAAGCAGCAGGUUAAUACCCCGCUGUUCUGACGGUACCCAAAGAAUAAGCACCGGCUAACUUCGUG
RNAcentral lists this ribosomal RNA (492 nucleotides) under uncultured bacterium. RNAcentral describes it as "partial 16S ribosomal RNA". It matches the Rfam family "Bacterial small subunit ribosomal RNA", at positions 29 to 507 of the family's 1533-position model. The record is from RNAcentral.